AGUGGCGGACGGGUGAGUAACGCGUGAGAAUCUACCUUCAGGACGGGGACAACAGCUGGAAACGGCUGCUAAUACCCGAUAUGCCGAAAGGUGAAAAGUUUUUUCGCCUGGAGAGGAGCUCGCGUCCGAUUAGCUAGUUGGUGAGGUAAAAGCUUACCAAGGCGACGAUCGGUAGCUGGUCUGAGAGGAUGAGCAGCCACACUGGAACUGAGACACGGUCCAGACUCCUACGGGAGGCAGCAGUGGGGAAUUUUCCGCAAUGGGCGAAAGCCUGACGGAGCAACGCCGCGUGGGGGAAGAAGGUUUUUGGAUUGUAAACCCCUUUUCUCAAGGAAGAACAAAAUGACGGUACUUGAGGAAUCAGCCUCGGCUAACUCCGUGCCAGCAGCCGCGGUAAUACGGAGGAGGCAAGCGUUAUCCGGAAUUAUUGGGCGUAAAGCGUUCGUAGGCGGCUGUUCAAGUCUGCUGUCAAAGACCGAGGCUCAACCUCGGGUAGGCAGUGGAAACUGGAUAGCUAGAGGUCGGUAGGGGCAGAGGGAAUUCCCAGUGUAGCGGUGAAAUGCGUAGAUAUUGGGAAGAACACCGGUGGCGAAAGCGCUCUGCUGGGCCGAACCUGACGCUGAGGGACGAAAGCUAGGGGAGCGAAUGGGAUUAGAUACCCC
This 662-nucleotide ribosomal RNA is filed under the name uncultured bacterium. Its description in RNAcentral is "bacterial SSU rRNA". It matches the Rfam family "Bacterial small subunit ribosomal RNA", at positions 94 to 788 of the family's 1533-position model. The record is from RNAcentral.